Molecule: ribosomal RNA, 31 nt
Filed under: Pleurotus pulmonarius
Lineage: Eukaryota; Fungi; Basidiomycota; Agaricomycetes; Agaricales; Pleurotaceae
Also listed under: 1 other name
Description: partial 28S ribosomal RNA
Source: RNAcentral
AUCAGGUAGGACUACCCGCUGAACUUAAGCA